CGAGGAUUCCCCUAGUAACGGCGAGUGAACGGGGAAAAGCCCAGCGCUGAAUCCUUCGGCCACUGGUCGCUUGGAAUUGUAGCGUAUAGGUGCGGCCGUCCGGCUGUUUCGCUUACCCAAAGUCCCCUUGAGCGGGGCCAUUGUCCAAAGAAGGUGCUAGACCUGUACGGGUGGUGAGAUGGUCGGUUGGUUGCUCCUUGGAGUCGGGUUGCCUGGGAUCGCAGCCCAAAGUUGGUGGUAGACCUCAUCUAAGGCUAAAUAUGGCCACGAAACCGAUAGCAAACAAGUACCGUGAGGGAAAGUUGCAAAGAACUUUGAAGAGAGAGUUCAAGAGGGCGUGAAACCGCUGAGAUUGAAACGGAUAGAGUUGACGGAACUCGGCUGCAUUCAUUCGGUCGGCCUAGCGGCCCGAUGGGACUGGCUUCCUCGAUGAGGGCAGUUCUGUCGGUAGCUGUUGGGUGCUUGAUCGGUGUAUUUGCGGCUGGUAUGCGCUGAGAGCCUUGUGGUCGCAUGUUGACGGGUACGUAGUGGACCAUGCCUUACGGGUGUGGAACCCUCCGUGCCUUGAGGCAUGUCGGCCAUGAGGUUUCGAACGUAGCGUCUCCGCUAUGGUGCGUCGGCCUUGUCGAGCUGUUGCUGCUGUGGUAUGGUCGCGUGCGACCUGCCGUAGUUGGCGAUGGCGUGGCGGGGUGCGGACGCGUCGAGACGUCCAUCUCGGUGUGAACGUUGACCACCUAUCCGA
Molecule: ribosomal RNA, 742 nt
Filed under: Hysterothylacium reliquens
Lineage: Eukaryota; Metazoa; Nematoda; Chromadorea; Rhabditida; Raphidascarididae
Description: eukaryotic LSU rRNA
Rfam family: Eukaryotic large subunit ribosomal RNA
Source: RNAcentral